This is a non-coding RNA of Caenorhabditis elegans, 21 nucleotides long. Lineage: Eukaryota; Metazoa; Nematoda; Chromadorea; Rhabditida; Rhabditidae. The record is from Ensembl.
UACGAGGGACGAAAUUUGCUU